CAUGCAAGUCGAGCGGGGAAGGUUGCUUCGGUAACUAACCUAGCGGCGGACGGGUGAGUAAUGCUUAGGAAUCUGCCUAUUAGUGGGGGACAACAUUCCGAAAGGAAUGCUAAUACCGCAUACGCCCUACGGGGGAAAGCAGGGGAUCUUCGGACCUUGCGCUAAUAGAUGAGCCUAAGUCGGAUUAGCUAGUUGGUGGGGUAAAGGCCUACCAAGGCGACGAUCUGUAGCGGGUCUGAGAGGAUGAUCCGCCACACUGGGACUGAGACACGGCCCAGACUCCUACGGGAGGCAGCAGUGGGGAAUAUUGGACAAUGGGCGGAAGCCUGAUCCAGCCAUGCCGCGUGUGUGAAGAAGGCCUUUUGGUUGUAAAGCACUUUAAGCGAGGAGGAGGCUCCCUUAGUUAAUACCUAAAGAGAGUGGACGUUACUCGCAGAAUAAGCACCGGCUAACUCUGUGCCAGCAGCCGCGGUAAUACAGAGGGUGCGAGCGUUAGUCGGAUUUACAGGGCGUAAAGCGUGCGUAGGCGGCUUUUUAAGUCGGAUGUGAAAUCCCUGAGCUUAACUUAGGAAUUGCAUUCGAUACUGGAAAGCUAGAGUAUGGGAGAGGAUGGUAGAAUUCCAGGUGUAGCGGUGAAAUGCGUAGAGAUCUGGAGGAAUACCGAUGGCGAAGGCAGCCAUCUGGCCUAAUACUGACGCUGAG
This 702-nucleotide ribosomal RNA is filed under the name uncultured bacterium. Its description in RNAcentral is "bacterial SSU rRNA". It matches the Rfam family "Bacterial small subunit ribosomal RNA", at positions 54 to 750 of the family's 1533-position model. The record is from RNAcentral.